This 1307-nucleotide long non-coding RNA is filed under the name Homo sapiens (human). RNAcentral describes it as "cytoplasmic endogenous regulator of oxidative phosphorylation 1". The record is from RNAcentral. Lineage: Eukaryota; Metazoa; Chordata; Mammalia; Primates; Hominidae.
UUCCUGGCUCCCCAUCCACCAAGGAAGCUUCAAGUCCCUGGGACACAGAGUCAUCUCUGGUCCACCUUGAAGUCCCCAGGAAAAUGACCUCGUCCUCCGCGGGUGUGAGCCACUAGGCCUGAGAGGACGCCGGGACGGAGCUUUCAGAGAGGGAGGUGUCGGGAUGGCUUGAGGGUCACCAGGUAUUAAUUAAGCACUUGCUGUGUGCCAGGCACUUUCCCACACAGGAUGGAGCCGGGCCACCCUCACAGCUCCUGCCCUGCAGACGCUGGCCUUGUGGAGGGAGGCAGGCAGCAGGAGCAGUGCUUUCUGGGCCUCUGUAGCCAGAGCUGGCCCUGCUGCAGCUUACGUCUGCCUGCAGCCCAGACGUCCUCCUGGUCCUCCUGAUGCCCCCGACCUCCACGGAGGACGAGCAUUUCCAGCCCAGCCCUCCCCAUCUUCACCUCGCACUCCCCUGACACACUGGGAGCCUCCUGAUCCGUGAACCCGCGCUGGCGGGAGUAGCUACUGACCGCUGGGGACCCCUGCCCAGGCUGUUCGCAUGUGGAAAGGAUUCAGGGAGCAGGCGAUGCCCAAAGCGUGGAGACCAGCACUGCUCUCUCCCCAGUGACAGGUGCACGCCCAGAUCACGGAUGUGUCGGGAACAGCUGUGCUCCUGCUGCUCAGCGUCCGUCACUCCAGGCUGGGAGCGGGUCCCCAAGCUUCUGGCUGGGCCUAUCCGUCUCCACUCUCAGUGUGGGGGUGGGGGGCGCCAACAGCACGCAUUUGCUCUCUGCACUUCUCGUCUGAUAAUGGGCAGAGGGUCCUUCUGCAGCCCCAAAACAUCCCUAGGCAGGAGCCCUGGGGCCCCAAGCAGCCAGGGAGGUGAGCACCAAGGACCUCCCAGAGAGCGUCACCUUCCGUCGAGGGAGGCCCAGCCUGGGGGCGGUGUCUGAGACUUGGAAUCAACGCUUCCGUUGGUGGCAGUAAAUCCUGUCCCUAACCCUGCAGUACAGCUGUGCCGUGUACAGGAGGGUGCUGUCUGACGCCAGACACCUGGACUACAGAUCGCAGCCUGAUUCCUGGUCAUUGCUCCACUGAACCCCAGACCCCAGCCUCGUUCUGGGCCCUCAUCCCCUAGAUCCAGGGACCCCAGCCCCAUUUCAGCCCUUGGGCCCUUGUAGGAUGCGAGGCCCUGGGCCCCAGCCCCCAGCCCAUCCGUGGCCCAGGCACUGGGGGGCUGAGGUCCUCUGAGAAGGGACACAGGGCCUGGGGGGCUCUCUCAGCCCAUCAGCAGGAGAGGACUGACUCCAGAAAAAUCAGCGUUU